This 634-nucleotide ribosomal RNA is filed under the name Russula aff. turci r-04101. RNAcentral's name for it is "LSU rRNA". It matches the Rfam family "Eukaryotic large subunit ribosomal RNA", at positions 41 to 649 of the family's 3401-position model. The record is from RNAcentral. Lineage: Eukaryota; Fungi; Basidiomycota; Agaricomycetes; Russulales; Russulaceae.
UAUCAAUAAGCGGAGGAAAAGAAACUAACAAGGAUUCCCCUAGUAACUGCGAGUGAAGCGGGAAAAGCUCAAAUUUAAAAUCUGGUGGCCUUUGGCCAUCCGAGUUGUAAUUUAGAGAAGCGUCUUCCGCGCUGGACCGUGCACAAGUCUCCUGGAACGGAGCGUCAUAGAGGGUGAGAAUCCCGUCUUUGGCACGGACAUGCCAGGGCUUUUGUGAUGCGCUCUCGAAGAGUCGAGUUGUUUGGGAAUGCAGCUCAAAAUGGGUGGUGAACUCCAUCUAAAGCUAAAUAUUGGCGAGAGACCGAUAGCGAACAAGUACCGUGAGGGAAAGAUGAAAAGCACUUUGGAAAGAGAGUGAAACAGUACGUGAAAUUGUUGAAAGGGAAACGCUUGAAGUCAGUCGCGUCGACCGAGACUCAGCCUUGCCUUGGCUUGGUGUACUUCUCGGCCGACGGGUCAGCAUCAAUUUUGCCCCUUGGAUAAUGGCGAGGGAAACGUGACACCUUUACGGUGUGUUAUAGUCUCUUGUCGCAUGCAAGGGUUGGGAUUGAGGAACUCAGCACGCGCCUUUGGGUGUCGGGGUUUUUGCCCACGAUACGUGCUUAGGAUGUUGGCGUAAUGGCUUUAAACGACC